CAGUUAAAAAGCUCGUAGUUGAACUUUGGAACGGGGGGAGGGGUUUUUUCGAUCCGGAGGACAAGGAAAAGGGUUUCCCCCUUUUCCCCCUUCGGGCGCCCUCCCUCGUGCGGCGCCGGUCCGCCCCGAAGGGGCGAGCACUGGCCCGCGCGUUCCCUCCUACCGGACGCUCGCUCCUGCUCUUCGUUGAGUGGGAGUAUUCCUCCGAGGAGCUUCCCUUUCGAGACCUCGGUUUCGAAACAGGCUCGGGGGUUUCGGCCUCCCUCGCUCGGGGAUUUGCGAGGGCCGAGGGAGUUUCUAAACGCUCCUCCUUUUCGGAGGGGGGGUUUUUUUUUUCUCCGUUUCUUCGGUUCUCGUAGAGCUCCGGUUCGUUUACCUUGAAUAAAUUAGAGUGUUCAAAGCGGGCAAGCGCACGCCUAGAUAUUUUAGCAUGGGAUAAUAGAAUAGGACUUGGGUUCUAUUUUCGUUGGUUCAUUAGGACCGAAGUAAUGAUUGAUAGGGACGGUGGGGGGCAUUAUUAUUUAAUUGUCAGAGGUGAAAUUCUCGGAUUUAGGAAAGACUGACUUCAGCGAAAGCAUUUGCCAAGGACGUUUUCAUUAAUCAAGAACGAAAGUUAGGGGAUCGAAGACGAUCACAUACCGUCGUAGUCUUAACCAUAAACGAUGCCGACCAGGGAUCGGGAUACGUUACCUCGACGACUCUCCCGGCACCUUGCGGGAAACCACAAGUCUUUGGGUUCCGGGGGGAGUAUGGUCGCAAGGCUGAAACUUAAAGGAAUUGACGGAAGGGCACCACCAGGAGUGCAGCCUGCGGCUUAAUUUGACUCAACACGGGGAAACUUACCAGGUCCGGACAUAGGAAGGAUUGACAGA
This 872-nucleotide ribosomal RNA is filed under the name Stenamoeba polymorpha. RNAcentral describes it as "partial small subunit ribosomal RNA". It matches the Rfam family "Eukaryotic small subunit ribosomal RNA", at positions 616 to 1247 of the family's 1831-position model. Lineage: Eukaryota; Discosea; Longamoebia; Thecamoebida. The record is from RNAcentral.